GACGAACGCUGGCGGCGUGCUUAACACAUGCAAGUCGAGCGGUAAGGCCCCUUCGGGGGUACACGAGCGGCGAACGGGUGAGUAACACGUGGGUGACCUGCCCUCAGCUCUGGGAUAAGCCUGGGAAGCCGGGUCUAAUACUGGAUAUGACUCCAUGACGCAUGUUGUGGGGUGGAAAGCCUUGUGCGGCUGAGGAUGGGCCCGCGGCCUAUCAGCUUGUUGGUGGGGNGAUGGCCUACCAAGGCGACGACGGGUAGCCGGCCUGAGAGGGCGGCCGGCCACACUGGGACUGAGACACGGCCCAGACUCCUACGGGAGGCAGCAGUGGGGAAUCUUGCGCAAUGGGCGAAAGCCUGACGCAGCGACGCCGCGUGAGGGAUGACGGCCUGGUGUAAC
RNAcentral lists this ribosomal RNA (396 nucleotides) under uncultured bacterium. RNAcentral's name for it is "bacterial SSU rRNA". It matches the Rfam family "Bacterial small subunit ribosomal RNA", at positions 28 to 429 of the family's 1533-position model. The record is from RNAcentral.